UGGUCAAGUAAGCUUUGAUGGUUGAGAGGUUUUGGCGAAUGAAGUUAGCCAAGGCCUUGGUCUCCUUCUCUGAUUCAGGUGCGCUGCCACAAUUAUGCCAUAGGAUAUACUUACUGCACCAUCCAGCAUCCAAAUUUCUGUUGGGAUCCGUACCAAUGCAACUACUGCCGGGAUUUACAGAACGUGUCUUCCUCCACAUGCGAGACUAUAACGAAAGAUAUUUGUGAAGCAUUGUAUCUGACAGAAGCACAGUACCAGUGACUGCGAACACAAAGAUGAAAAAUGAUAAUAAGAAAGUCACCAAAUCAAGAAAGAAAAGAAGAAUGUAUGGUAAAUUGUUAAGUAUAUUUUAAGAAUGGUACAAUUCAGCUCUGGCUUCAAGUGAAAGGACCAUGAGAAAGGAAAGUAUCCGUUUGGAACCUGUGUAUCAACAGUCCAUGAACAACAGACAGAGAAGGAAUGUCAGUCAUCUGAUCAGAAUUUUCUUUACUACUAAAAUUGCAGUGUUAAUUUGGAAAUUUUGCAUUUAUUAAUUAAAAUUAUCA
Long non-coding RNA from Anolis carolinensis (green anole), 545 nucleotides. RefSeq lists it as uncharacterized. NCBI's taxonomy places the organism in Eukaryota, Metazoa, Chordata, Lepidosauria, Squamata, Anolidae. The record is from RefSeq and is a predicted model, not a curated record. The transcript has 4 exons.